RNA transcript from Rhinopithecus roxellana (golden snub-nosed monkey), 2920 nucleotides. It is a transcript of the gene named nuclear receptor subfamily 2 group C member 1, with no coding region annotated. The record is from RefSeq and is a predicted model, not a curated record. The transcript is spliced from 15 exons. NCBI's taxonomy places the organism in Eukaryota, Metazoa, Chordata, Mammalia, Primates, Cercopithecidae.
UGCGCAGGCGCUGGCGGGAUAGCGCGCCGCCGAGCCAAGAAAGGGGUCACGAACUCUGACCCUCCCAAAUACCCAAACACAGAAAGCUCCCUCCGCAGUGAAUCUCGAUCCCCCCUCCCGUGGGCUUCCUUCAACCUCUCUUUCCGAAGCGCCCCCCAAUCCAGCAGUGGCAACCGCGGGACUGUCGCGUCGGCGCCCGACGCCGGAGUCAGCGGGGCGCAAAGGCGCCGGACAUCUUGGCAGUUAGAUCAUGGCAACCAUAGAAGAAAUUGCACAUCAAAUUAUUGAACAGCAGAUGGGAGAGAUUGUUACAGAGCAGCAAACUGGGCAGAAGAUCCAGAUUGUGACAGCACUUGAUCAUAAUACCCAAGGCAAGCAGUUCAUUCUGACAAAUCAUGAUGGCUCUACUCCAAGCAAAGUCAUUCUGGCCAGGCAAGAUUCCACUCCAGGAAAAGUUUUCCUUACAACUCCAGAUGCAGCAGGUGUCAACCAGUUAUUUUUUACCACUCCUGAUCUGUCUGCACAACACCUGCAGCUCCUAACAGAUAAUUCUUCUCCAGACCAGGGACCAAAUAAGGUUUUUGAUCUUUGCGUAGUGUGUGGAGACAAAGCAUCAGGACGUCAUUAUGGAGCAGUAACUUGUGAAGGCUGCAAAGGAUUUUUUAAAAGAAGCAUCCGAAAAAAUUUAGUAUAUUCAUGUCGAGGAUCAAAGGAUUGUAUUAUUAAUAAGCACCACCGAAACCGCUGUCAAUACUGCAGGUUACAGAGAUGUAUUGCGUUUGGAAUGAAGCAAGACUCUGUCCAAUGUGAAAGAAAACCCAUUGAAGUAUCACGAGAAAAAUCUUCCAACUGUGCCGCUUCAACAGAAAAAAUCUAUAUCCGAAAGGACCUUCGUAGCCCAUUAACUGCAACUCCAACUUUUGUAACAGAUAGUGAAACUACAAGGUCAACAGGACUUUUAGAUUCAGGAAUGUUCGUGAAUAUUCAUCCAUCUGGAGUAAAAACUGAGUCAACUGUGCUGAUGACACCAGAUAAGGCUGAAUCAUGUCAGGGAGAUUUAAGUACAUUGGCCAGUGUGGUUACAUCAUUAGCGAAUCUUGGAAAAACUAAAGAUCUUUCUCAAAAUAGUAAUGAAAUGUCUAUGAUUGAAAGCUUAAGCAAUGAUGAUACCUCUUUGUGUGAAUUUCAAGAAAUGCAGACCAACGGUGAUGUUUCAAGGGCAUUUGACACUCUUGCAAAAGCAUUGAAUCCAGGAGAGAGCACAGCCUGCCAGAGCUCAGUAGCAGGCAUGGAAGGAAGUGUACACCUAAUCACUGGAGAUUCAAGCAUAAAUUACACCGAAAAAGAGGGACCACUUCUCAGCGAUUCACAUGUAGCUUUCAGGCUCACCAUGCCUUCUCCUAUGCCUGAGUACCUGAAUGUGCACUACAUUGGGGAGUCUGCCUCCAGACUGCUGUUCUUAUCAAUGCACUGGGCACUUUCGAUUCCUUCUUUCCAGGCGCUAGGGCAAGAAAACAGCAUAUCACUGGUGAAAGCUUACUGGAAUGAACUUUUUACUCUUGGUCUUGCCCAGUGCUGGCAAGUGAUGAAUGUAGCAACUAUAUUAGCAACAUUUGUCAAUUGUCUUCACAAUAGUCUUCAACAAGAUAAAAUGUCAACAGAAAGAAGAAAAUUAUUGAUGGAGCACAUCUUCAAACUACAGGAGUUUUGCAACAGCAUGGUUAAACUCUGCAUUGAUGGAUAUGAAUAUGCCUACCUGAAGGCAAUAGUACUCUUCAGUCCAGAUCAUCCAGGCCUAGAAAACAUGGAACAGAUAGAGAAAUUUCAGGAAAAGGCUUAUGUGGAAUUCCAAGAUUAUAUAACCAAAACAUAUCCAGAUGACACCUACAGGUUAUCCAGACUACUACUCAGAUUGCCAGCUUUAAGACUGAUGAAUGCUACCAUCACUGAAGAAUUGUUUUUCAAAGGUCUCAUUGGCAACAUACGAAUUGACAGUGUCAUCCCACAUAUUUUGAAAAUGGAGCCUGCAGAUUAUAAUUCUCAAAUAAUUGGUCACAGCAUUUGAAAGCUGCAACUGCAGUGCUGUAAACUUAACUAUUCUUUGCCAGAACACAAGACACCAAAUUGAACUCAUUGCUUUUGGAGCAUCUGGAAAUUUUUACUUCAAAAAGUAACCAGAAUCCAAGACACAAAGUCUCACUGUGUUGGCCAGGGUAGAACUCCUGGGCUCAAGCUAUGCUCCCACCUCAACCUCCUGAUUAGCUGGGACUACAGGUAUGAACUGCUACACCUGGUUUGCUUUAUGGUUUUUGUUUGUUUUUAAAUGCAUCUUACAAAGACAAAAAAAAAAAGGGGGACAGAAAUAAAUGAUAACCACAACUUUUUGAAAGCUAAAAAUAGACUAGUAGUGAUGAUCCUAGCAAACCUGAGAAGGCCUUUUUAUCCUGCAAUGUGGAAAGCUGCAAAGCAAUCUUUCAAAAUGCUCCAAAAUGCUCUUGUACUGUGACAUCUCUGGAAGGAAAGAUGAAGGAUUUGUUGAAAGUCUAUUUUGGAAGCAAAUACACACCCACCAGACUAAUAAAAUUUUAGUCUGGCAAAACCAAACGUAGAGUAUGUGGAGUGAAAAUAUGUGUGUUGAUGGUGAGAGUGUUGGUACAGUAAAUUCGGGAAAGAUUUUGCAUUAAAUAGUAGAGUUGAACAUGCAUGAAAUUAUCUUAGAGAAACUCACACGUGUACCAGAGGACAUACAAAAAAUUCAUGUCAGCAUUGUAAGAGCAAAAAAGGAAAACUAUUCAAAUAUCCAUUGACAGGAGAAUGGAUAAGUUAAUUGUGGCAUAAUCACCCAAUGGAAUACUAUGCAACACUAAAAAAGGAAUAAACUGUAAACAUGGGUGAAUCCCCAAAAUACAAUGUUGUAUUU